Long non-coding RNA from Sapajus apella (tufted capuchin), 1123 nucleotides. RefSeq lists it as uncharacterized. The transcript is spliced from 3 exons. Lineage: Eukaryota; Metazoa; Chordata; Mammalia; Primates; Cebidae. The record is from RefSeq and is a predicted model, not a curated record.
UGAUGCUGAAGCUAUUUCUGUUUUUUACUUUUCCUUCUGACAGGCCCCUCUGCUGCAGGACUGCUAGAGGUCCACUUCAGACCCUGCCUGCCUGGGAAUCAUCUGCGGGGGCUGCAGAACUGCAAGGUUUACUGCCUGUUCUCUCCUCUGGUAGCUUCGUCCCAGAAGGGUACCCACCAGAUGUCAGCCAGAACUCUCAUGUAUGAGAGAUGCCCUGCCAGCAAGGAGGAAGUCUAGUCGCAGUCUGCCUGCAAAGGCGCUCCUGAGCUGCCAUAGGCUCCGUCCAGCUGCCGUGUAAACUUCCUCCAGAUUUUGUUUACACAGGGAAAGAACUUCUUCUGCCUUACUGUGAAGCAUUUCUCGAGUACGCUUAACUUCAAGUUUUAAAAGAUUGUCCUCUAUCAUCAAAUCCUAUCAACAAAAAAAAUGGUCAAAUGUUGAAAUUAUUUUUUAUCACAAAACCAAGAUAUUUUUCUUUUUAUUACUACAUAAGUCAAAAUUGAAAAUAUACCUUUUUCUAAUUUAAUCAUUGACCAAGAUAUUAACUAGGGCUGAAUUUAAAUUGUUCAGAGUCAUACGUUUUUUUCUUUUAGGAAAAGGGUUUAUGGUUAUUUCAAAUCUUUUUAUAAUUCAAUGUUAAAGUUAAGCUUUGCUAUUAUAAAAAACAAAAGGAAGAAGUGAUUCAUGAAAUUAAACUUAAUAAUAUCUAGAAAACAUAAAGUCCUAUGAAUGGCCAUUUUUAUACUCUGAGUCUCACAAAAUAAUGUGGAAAUAUAUUUUUAUCUUAAAACAAUUCGGUCACGAGUAGAAUACUGACAUAAGAAUACACAUAUCAAUCAGUUUUCAGAAUAGAAAGCCCAGAAUCAAACGCUCCAUAAUAUCAGAUUUUAUUAUUUCACAAACAUAGGUUUUCAGUUGGAGAGAUUAGAUACUUAUAUCUCACAUGUACCAAAAAUAUAUUCCAGAUGAAUGAAAAAUCUUAAGAGAUGAGACCAGUGUAACUACUAGACAUAAUAAACAUUGGACUUAUUUUUAGUGUAACCAAGAAGUUUCUAAGCAUAAAAAUUAAAAAGAAACCUAAAGAUUUGAUGUUUAAAGAAAAGUUUUAUGUCACAAACACUGA